RNAcentral lists this ribosomal RNA (253 nucleotides) under uncultured bacterium. Its description in RNAcentral is "partial 16S ribosomal RNA". It matches the Rfam family "Bacterial small subunit ribosomal RNA", at positions 524 to 776 of the family's 1533-position model. The record is from RNAcentral.
GACGUAGGGAGCAAGCGUUGUCCGGAAUUACUGGGCGUAAAGAGCUCGUAGGCGGGACCGUAAGUCCGAGAGGAAAUCUCAAGGCUCAACUUUGGGGCUUUCUUGGAUACUGCGGUUCUUGAGGAUGAGAGAGGUAAGUAGAAUUCCCGGUGUAGCGGUGAAAUGCGUAGAUAUCGGGAGGAAUACCAGUGGCGAAGGCGGCUUACUGGCUCAUUCCUGACGCUGAGGAGCGAAAGCGUGGGGAGCAAACGAG